CGGCAGGGAAAAGCAGCGCUGCGGUUUAGGGGAGGACGCCGGGGUUGCAGUUCAGCCCAGAAGCCGGUAACUUCCCGCGCUUUGAGCGUGGUAGGAGUCCGGUUCAAGACCGAGAGCAAAUGGAGACUUGAGCUAAGGUAAAGGUGACCUUCCCCCUCUCCCAGCUGAAUCUCCUGUGAGACACCUGACUCCUGCUGAGGCCGAUUACAGCUGCCACUUGUUAACUGUUCAAGCACUGUCCAUGGAAAAGAUCCCUGGAAAAUGAAGACGAAUCCUGUCUGCCAAGAGCCUAAAAAAGUAGUGAAAUAAAUGGCUUUCCAUUUCAAAGGCCAAAUCUUGAAAGUUCACCACUGCAUCAUCCACAACCCCCAGGACCCUCAGGGGAGAAAGAGAUAUUAGAGCCCAAGGUUCCAAGAGAAGCACUAGUGAAGAUGGAAACAAAAGAGUGGAGUUGGCAUUAAGUACUCAGGUACUUGCUCAGGAAUGGCUGUUUUGUUUCAACUGAAGGCCAAGUUGAAUGCCCACUCUGAGUGACGCAGCAGGAAAAGGAUUCUACAAUGUUUGGGAAGUCAGAUAUUUAUGAAAGUGAAGUGCUGUAAAUGCUGAAGUGUUAGAAGCAGUCUACUAGUAGUAUUUUUAAAAAGAGAGAGAC
Molecule: long non-coding RNA, 652 nt
Organism: Tupaia belangeri chinensis (Chinese tree shrew)
Lineage: Eukaryota; Metazoa; Chordata; Mammalia; Scandentia; Tupaiidae
Exons: 6
Source: RefSeq, a predicted model, not a curated record